AUUGAACGCUGGCGGCAGGCUUAACACAUGCAAGUCGAGCGGGGUGAUGGUGCUUGCACUAUCACUUAGCGGCGGACGGGUGAGUAAUGCUUAGGAAUCUGCCUAUUAGUGGGGGACAACAUCGCGAAAGGGAUGCUACUACCGCAUACGUCCUACGGGAGAAAGCAGGGGAUCACUUGUGACCUUGCGCUAAUAGAUGAGCUUAAGUCGGAUUAGCGAGUUGGUGGGGUAAAGGCCUACCAAGGCGACGAUCUGUAGCGGGUCUGAGAGGAUGAUCCGCCACACUGGGACUGAGACACGGCCCAGACUCCUACGGGAGGCAGCAGUGGGGAAUAUUGGACAAUGGGGGGAACCCUGAUCCAGCCAUGCCGCGUGUGUAAAGAAGGCCUUAUGGUUGUAAAGCACUGUAAGCGAGGAGGAGGCUCUUUUGGUUAAUACCCAAGAUGAGUGGACGUUACUCGCAGAAUAAGCACCGGCUAACUCUGUGCCAGCAGCCGCGGUAA
Molecule: ribosomal RNA, 503 nt
Filed under: uncultured bacterium
Lineage: Bacteria
Description: partial 16S ribosomal RNA
Rfam family: Bacterial small subunit ribosomal RNA
Source: RNAcentral